CCUGCCUUGGAGUGGGGAAUAACAGUUGGAAACAGCUGCUAAUACCGCAUGAUGCAGUUGAGUCGCAUGGCUCUGACUGCCAAAGAUUUAUCGCUCUGAGAUGGACUCGCGUCUGAUUAGCUAAUUGGCGGGGUAACGGCCCACCAAGGCGACGAUCAGUAGCCGGACUGAGAGGUUGGCCGGCCACAUUGGGACUGAGACACGGCCCAGACUCCUACGGGAGGCAGCAG
This 230-nucleotide ribosomal RNA is filed under the name uncultured bacterium. RNAcentral's name for it is "partial 16S ribosomal RNA". It matches the Rfam family "Bacterial small subunit ribosomal RNA", at positions 125 to 354 of the family's 1533-position model. The record is from RNAcentral.